RNAcentral lists this small nuclear RNA (297 nucleotides) under Nannospalax galili (Upper Galilee mountains blind mole rat). RNAcentral's name for it is "7SK RNA (ENSNGAG00000006011.1)". It matches the Rfam family "7SK RNA". Rfam says of the family: 7SK was discovered as an abundant small nuclear RNA in the mid-70s but a possible function has only recently been suggested. Two independent studies have found that 7SK RNA binds the CDK9/cyclin T complex (known as elongation factor P-TEFb). P-TEFb activates transcription by phosphorylating the C-terminal domain of RNA polymerase II. Lineage: Eukaryota; Metazoa; Chordata; Mammalia; Rodentia; Spalacidae. The record is from RNAcentral.
AGAAGAGAGGCUAAUCACACAGAGGAAUGUGCCAUCCCAUUGAUCACUAGGACUAAUUCUCUUCAUUUCACUGAAUAGAGUGCUUUCCCUAUCACACCCCCACUGACCCAUCUGUGUCCCUCAUGAUGCUGUGUGCUCUGUCAAAGAGGACAACCUUACAGAAGAGGAGGACCCGUCUUCCACAUUACAAGAACAUUCUUUGCUGAUCUGCACUCUCCGCCUAAAGCAUCCAAAGAAGGUCUUGGGGAAAGAGAACAGAGAAAAGAUGUUCAACCAUGAUUAAUAGUUUUAGGAAUU